AAAACACUCUAAAAAAUUGGUGCUUUCUAGAACCUUCCUGCUUCAGCAACUUGUAUGAGUAAUAGCAUCAACAGAUUCUAAUACCCCCAGCAAGAUGGAGAAUAUAGGUUUACUAUUCCCAUCUUGGACAAGUGGGAAUGAAGGACGUAAGAGGGUAAAGCCUUGGUAAGGAGGUUUGCCAAUUGUGAAUGAGUGGAGACAUAAGAGGUCUGAACACUGCCUUCCAAGAUCUUAUCAUGAAUUAAGUGGCAAUCAAUCUCUAUAUGCUUAGUUCUUUCGUGAAAGGCAGGAUUUGCAGCUAUGUCGAGAGCUGCUUGGUUAUCACAGAAGAGCAAUGCAGGUUUAGGCCUUAGGGUGUGAUAUUUGUAGUUCAUGAAGUCAGUAGCGAAGCCACAUGAGUUCAGAGCAAGUGGUAGCCAUAGCUUGGUAUUCAGAUUCGGCUGAAGAUCGAGAAACAAUGAUCCGCUUCUUGGAUUUCCAAGAAAUUAAGGAAUGUCCUAUGAAGAUACAAUACCUCAUGAUAGAUCUUCUAGAAUCCGGGCAAAAAGCCCAGUCGGAAUCACAAUAGGCUUGAAGUUGUAAAGGAGCAGAAGCAGAUACGAAAAUGCCUUGACCCAAAGCUGAGUUUAAUGUGCCAUAGAACCUUGUAUGCUGCUACCAAAUGAGCUGUUGUGGGA
Molecule: long non-coding RNA, 677 nt
Filed under: Olea europaea subsp. europaea
Lineage: Eukaryota; Viridiplantae; Streptophyta; Magnoliopsida; Lamiales; Oleaceae
Source: RNAcentral